Parasteatoda tepidariorum (common house spider) is the source of this 367-nucleotide non-coding RNA. The record is from RefSeq and is a predicted model, not a curated record. Lineage: Eukaryota; Metazoa; Arthropoda; Arachnida; Araneae; Theridiidae.
CUACGUCAGCAUUUGUGAUACCAUCUAUGUUCAACAAUAUAAACUAAUUCAUUCAACACUCCCACUUUAGUUUACAUUUUUGGGAGUACUAAAAGAAAAUCACGAUAUUUGGUCAAUUUAGGAAUUGGUAACUGGGCGGAGUGAGCUUGACGCUAGCUUUUAUCCAUCAAUCUUCUUAUAGCCCUAUAUUGAUUGACCCUACAAACUUUUUCGCCAAAGCAAUUGGCGUUGUUUAAACAAAAGCUAUUGUUAGAGGAAGCCAUUUUCUGUAUUUGGCUGCGCGGGAUUUCAUAUUUUAUCAUCAUGAAAGUUUUAAUUACAGGUGAUUCCCUGGAGAAGUAUUUAGCUAAUUACUUAAAUGCUGAAU